Ictalurus punctatus (channel catfish) is the source of this 1812-nucleotide long non-coding RNA. RefSeq lists it as uncharacterized. The record is from RefSeq and is a predicted model, not a curated record. The transcript has 3 exons. Lineage: Eukaryota; Metazoa; Chordata; Actinopteri; Siluriformes; Ictaluridae.
AUCAUUUGUUUUGGUGAGAUAAGACCAAAAUUGUGCUUUUUGGUCAUGAAAACUAUCAGCAUGAGACUGUAGACAAGCAAAUGCAUUCAUACUCACUGUAUAAUCUGCUGGUGGAUCGCUGAAUGACUUGGAGCUGUUUUGUGGUUGGUGGUUCAUGGAUUUUUGUAAACACUGACAGUAUCAUGAGCUCUGCUAAGUACCAGGAUAUUUAAGCCCAAAAUCUGGUUGCCUCUGCCAGGAAGUUAGGAUGACUUUUUCAACAAGAUAAAGGCCCAAAACAUCAGAAUCAACACUGAAAUGAUUUAAAACAACAACAACAACAACAACAACAACAAUACAAAAUCAUCUCAUUCUCUGUAUAUGAACUCUACUGAAACUGUGGUCUGAAAUGAAGAGGGCAGUUCACAUGAACAAACCAAAGGAUAUACAAAAGUGUACACACCCUAUGUACACAUAUGAAGUAUCACCAUAUAUUUCAACAAUAUACAUACAUACAUAUAUAUAUUAGUUUAAUGAAGGGUACCAAUCAUUCUGGACAUGUACUGUAGGUUUGAGUCAGUGCCUAUAAUUUUAUACAUACAUACAUACAAACAUGUGGCAUUGCUCCCAUAUGGCGCAAUAGAAAAGCAUUUGCAUGUGAAGAUAAUAAAGUUGGCCAUACUUUCUGGGUGGGAGGGAUGGCAUAACUGUCUCUCACUCCCAUUUCACUGUCAAUCACAGCAAAACUAACUAAUUGUUGGUAUUUGUGAGUUCAUGUAUGCAGAGGAUUGGAUUCCAUGCAGAGGUUGGAUUCCUUGUGCAUUUCACCGGGUGUUACGCUUCCUGUGACGCAGCAUGGGCAGCAGAUCAAAAAUUUAAUACUGACUGGCUUCUCAGAGGAAGCACAUGUUAGCCUUCACCCUCCCUGCUGGAGAGAUGGCAGCAGUGAUCGUGACCACUUCUGCUCUCUGGACCUGCCUGAUCCAUCCUGAUGUCUUACUUCUGGUUGCGUUCUCAUCGUUUGGAAAUCACCCACUGUUGCUGAGGAUGGCCCUGCAUGGACUAAAGAUCAGUGAGAUUACUCAGUAUGGUAGCACUUAAAAAUCUUUUUUGUCUUUGAACUGCAACUGAUAUGAACAGUUUUGCUACAAUAGCCAUGAACAGUUCUGCAUGCUCCUGCACUUCUACUUUCUGACCAGGUAGUAAAUGGUCUGCACUUAUAUAGCACUUUUAUCCAAAGCACUUUACAUUGUGUCUCAUUCACACACACAGUAGCAGAGCUGCCAUGCAAGGCACUAACUUGCCAUCAAGAGCAACUUGGGGUCCAAGGACACUUCAGUAUCUGGAGUCAUGUGGGCGGGGAAUCAAACCGCCAACCCUACGAUUAGUGGACAACCCACUCUACCACCUGAGCCACAGCCACCCACAGUACAUAGGGUCGCGGGGGAACCUGGAGCCUAUCCCAGGAAGCAUCGGGCACAAGGCGGGGUACACCCUGGACAGGGCGCCAGUCCAUUGCAGGGCACAAUCACCACAUCAAUAUAAUGGGCUAUUCUGUGUAGGUUCAUAUACUAUAUUAAACACAUAAUUAAAUCCAUUUCAGUUACAGGUUAUAACAAGACAAAAUGUGGAAUAGUUCAAAGGGAGUGAAUUCUUAUGCAAUUCUUAGACAAUGGACUAUUUAAACAUGUUCUCUGGUAUCUCUGAUGUUCUCUUGUUGUUUCUGGUAGUAAGGUUCUUAUGUAAUAACAGUCACAGACUAAUUAUGGGAAUUAUGAAUAUUGGUAUUAUGAGUUUUGAGUUUAUAUCAUUGUUUUUUCUUUGCAAAAUACC